UACGGAGGAUGCGAGCGUUAUCCGGAUUUAUUGGGUUUAAAGGGUGCGUAGGCGGAAUAUCAAGUCAGCGGUAAAAAUUCGGGGCUCAACCCCGUCGUGCCGUUGAAACUGAUGUUCUUGAGUGGGCGAGAAGUAUGCGGAAUGCGUGGUGUAGCGGUGAAAUGCAUAGAUAUAACUUAGAACACCGAUAGCGAAGGCAGCUUACCAGACUGAGUCUGACGCUGAUGCACGAGAGCAUGGGUAGCGAACAGG
RNAcentral lists this ribosomal RNA (252 nucleotides) under uncultured Bacteroidales bacterium. RNAcentral describes it as "partial 16S ribosomal RNA". It matches the Rfam family "Bacterial small subunit ribosomal RNA", at positions 524 to 776 of the family's 1533-position model. The record is from RNAcentral. Lineage: Bacteria; Pseudomonadati; Bacteroidota; Bacteroidia; Bacteroidales.